This 1372-nucleotide ribosomal RNA is filed under the name uncultured bacterium. Its description in RNAcentral is "bacterial SSU rRNA". It matches the Rfam family "Bacterial small subunit ribosomal RNA", at positions 28 to 1381 of the family's 1533-position model. The record is from RNAcentral.
GAUGAACGCUGGCGGCGUGCCUAAUACAUGCAAGUCGAGCGAACAGAUAAGGAGCUUGCUCCUUUGAAGUUAGCGGCGGACGGGUGAGUAACACGUGGGUAACCUACCUAUAAGACUGGGAUAACUUCGGGAAACCGGAGCUAAUACCGGAUAACAUUUAGAACCGCAUGGUCCUAAAGUGAAAGAUGGUUUUGCUAUCACUUAUAGAUGGACCCGCGCCGUAUUAGCUAGUUGGUAAGGUAACGGCUUACCAAGGCGACGAUACGUAGCCGACCUGAGAGGGUGAUCGGCCACACUGGAACUGAGACACGGUCCAGACUCCUACGGGAGGCAGCAGUAGGGAAUCUUCCGCAAUGGGCGAAAGCCUGACGGAGCAACGCCGCGUGAGUGAUGAAGGGUUUCGGCUCGUAAAACUCUGUUAUUAGGGAAGAACAAAUGUGUAAGUAACUGUGCACAUCUUGACGGUACCUAAUCAGAAAGCCACGGCUAACUACGUGCCAGCAGCCGCGGUAAUACGUAGGUGGCAAGCGUUAUCCGGAAUUAUUGGGCGUAAAGCGCGCGUAGGCGGUUUCUUAAGUCUGAUGUGAAAGCCCACGGCUCAACCGUGGAGGGUCAUUGGAAACUGGGAAACUUGAGUGCAGAAGAGGAAAGUGGAAUUCCAUGUGUAGCGGUGAAAUGCGCAGAGAUAUGGAGGAACACCAGUGGCGAAGGCGACUUUCUGGUCUGUAACUGACGCUGAUGUGCGAAAGCGUGGGGAUCAAACAGGAUUAGAUACCCUGGUAGUCCACGCCGUAAACGAUGAGUGCUAAGUGUUAGGGGGUUUCCGCCCCUUAGUGCUGCAGCUAACGCAUUAAGCACUCCGCCUGGGGAGUACGACCGCAAGGUUGAAACUCAAAGGAAUUGACGGGGACCCGCACAAGCGGUGGAGCAUGUGGUUUAAUUCGAAGCAACGCGAAGAACCUUACCAAAUCUUGACAUCCUUUGAAAACUCUAGAGAUAGAGCCUUCCCCUUCGGGGGACAAAGUGACAGGUGGUGCAUGGUUGUCGUCAGCUCGUGCCGUGAGAUGUUGGGUUAAGUCCCGCAACGAGCGCAACCCUUAAGCUUAGUUGCCAUCAUUAAGUUGGGCACUCUAGGUUGACUGCCGGUGACAAACCGGAGGAAGGUGGGGAUGACGUCAAAUCAUCAUGCCCCUUAUGAUUUGGGCUACACACGUGCUACAAUGGACAAUACAAAGGGCAGCUAAACCGCGAGGUCAUGCAAAUCCCAUAAAGUUGUUCUCAGUUCGGAUUGUAGUCUGCAACUCGACUACAUGAAGCUGGAAUCGCUAGUAAUCGUAGAUCAGCAUGCUACGGUGAAUACGUUCCCGGGUCU